GGAGAGGUUCUAGUUAUACCCUCUAUAAAAAACUAA
RNAcentral lists this non-coding RNA (36 nucleotides) under unclassified sequences. RNAcentral also lists the same sequence under 1 other name. The record is from RNAcentral.